CGCACAUUGCGCCCCGUGGUAUUCCGCGGGGCAUGCCUGUUCGAGCGUCAUCAUAACCCUCAAGCCUAGCUUGGUGUUGGGGCCUGCCACCGCGGCAGCCCCUAAAAUCAGUGGCGGUGCCGCCUGGUUCCACGCGCAGUAAUUUAUCCUCGCUAUGGACCUCAGGCGGUUGCUGGCCAGCAACCCUAUAUUUUCACGGUUUGACCUCGGAUCAGGUAGGGAUACCCGCUGAACUUAA
RNAcentral lists this unclassified non-coding RNA (238 nucleotides) under Leohumicola sp. Its description in RNAcentral is "partial contains 5.8S ribosomal RNA, internal transcribed spacer 2, and large subunit ribosomal RNA". Lineage: Eukaryota; Fungi; Ascomycota; Leotiomycetes. The record is from RNAcentral.